This is a non-coding RNA of Bacteroidales bacterium 45-6, 104 nucleotides long. NCBI's taxonomy places the organism in Bacteria, Pseudomonadati, Bacteroidota, Bacteroidia, Bacteroidales. The record is from Rfam.
AAUUUAUACAGAAGAAGGGAGAGUCAGGCUCUGCGAACUUCUGGCAACUUCCGGCAAGGAUAAGUGCCCAACCUGGUCUAAACAAUAUUUAGAAACUAUAAAUU